This 434-nucleotide unclassified non-coding RNA is filed under the name soil metagenome. RNAcentral's name for it is "partial contains 5.8S ribosomal RNA, internal transcribed spacer 2, and large subunit ribosomal RNA". The stretch from base 1 to 120 matches the Rfam family "5.8S ribosomal RNA", at positions 35 to 154 of the family's 154-position model. The record is from RNAcentral.
GAUGAAGAACGUAGCGAAAUGCGAUACGUAAUGUGAAUUGCAGAAUUCAGUGAAUCAUCGAAUCUUUGAACGCAUAUUGCGCUCUUUGGUAUUCCGAAGAGCAUGCUUGUUUGAGUAUCAGUAAACACCUCAAAGCUUUUGGAUUUUUUAAUCGAAAAGCUUUGGACUUGAGCAAUCCCAACACCAAUCUUUUUGAGAUCGGUGGCGGGUUGCUUGAAAUGCAGGUGCAGCUGGACAUUCUCCUGAGCUAAAAGCAUAUUCAUUUAGUCCCGUCAAACGGAUUAUUACUUUUGCUGCAGCUAACAUAACGGGAGUUUGACCGUAUUGGCUGACUGAUGCAGGAUUUCACAAGGGUCGGCAACGAUUCUUGUUAAACUCGAUCUCAAAUCAAGUAAGACUACCCGCUGAACUUAAGCAUAUCAAUAAGCGGAGGA